UGAGGAAUUUUGCGCAAUGGGAGCAAUCCUGACGCAGCAACGCCGCGUGGGUGAUGAAGGCCUUCGGGUCGUAAAGCCCUGUCAGGUGGGAAGAAUGUCCCGGGACUGAACAGGUUCCGGGAGUGACGGUACCACCAGAGGAAGCACCGGCUAACUCCGUGCCAGCAGCCGCGGUAAUACGGAGGGUGCAAGCGUUAUUCGGAAUUACUGGGCGUAAAGCGCGUGUAGGCGGGCCCGCAAGUCUGAUGUGAAAGCCCCGGGCUUAACCCGGGAAGUGCAUUGGAAACUGUGGGACUUGAGUACUGGAGAGGUUGGGGGAAUUCCCGGUGUAGAGGUGAAAUUCGUAGAGAUCGGGAGGAAUAUCAGUGGCGAAGGCGCCCAUCUGGACGGUAACUGACGCUGAGACGCGAAAGCGUGGGGAGCAAACA
Molecule: ribosomal RNA, 428 nt
Filed under: uncultured prokaryote
Description: bacterial SSU rRNA
Rfam family: Bacterial small subunit ribosomal RNA
Source: RNAcentral